This 387-nucleotide unclassified non-coding RNA is filed under the name uncultured Eurotiomycetes. RNAcentral describes it as "sequence contains ITS2". The stretch from base 1 to 154 matches the Rfam family "5.8S ribosomal RNA". The record is from RNAcentral. Lineage: Eukaryota; Fungi; Ascomycota; Eurotiomycetes.
AACUCUCAACAACGGAUCACUUGGUUCUGGCAUCGAUGAAGAACGCAGCGAAAUGCGAUAAGUAAUGCGAAUUGCAGAAUUCAGUGAGUCAUCGAAUCUUUGAACGCACAUUGCGCCCUCUGGUAUUCCGGAGGGCAUGCCUGUCCGAGCGUCAUUAUCACCAAUCAAGCCCGGCUUGCUAUUGAGCCAUCCCCGGCAAGUCCAUCUGCCGGGGGCUCGAAAAACAGUGGCGGCGUCUUUGGCCCCGAGUACAACGAGCUUCUCUCUCAAGAGGCACGUAUUCUGGCGGCCGGCGGGCGUCGAUCCAGAAACCUCUGUCUUCUGACGGUUGACCUCGGAUCAGGUAGGAAUACCCGCUGAACUUAAGCAUAUCAAUAAGCGGAGGCU